UACGUAGGCAGCAAGCGUUGUUCGGAGUUACUGGGCGUAAAGGGUGUGUAGGCGGUCGAUCAAGUUUGGUGUGAAAUCUCCCGGCUCAACUGGGAGGGUGCGCCGAAUACUGAUGGACUAGAGUGCGGGAGAGGAAAGUGGAAUUCCUGGUGUAGCGGUGAAAUGCGUAGAUAUCAGGAGGAACACCGGUGGUGUAGACGGCUUUCUGGACCGUAACUGACGCUGAGACACGAAAGCGUGGGUAGCAAACAGG
RNAcentral lists this ribosomal RNA (253 nucleotides) under uncultured Acidobacteriota bacterium. RNAcentral describes it as "uncultured Acidobacteria bacterium partial 16S ribosomal RNA". It matches the Rfam family "Bacterial small subunit ribosomal RNA", at positions 524 to 776 of the family's 1533-position model. The record is from RNAcentral. Lineage: Bacteria; Pseudomonadati; Acidobacteriota.